RNAcentral lists this ribosomal RNA (460 nucleotides) under uncultured bacterium. RNAcentral's name for it is "partial 16S ribosomal RNA". It matches the Rfam family "Bacterial small subunit ribosomal RNA", at positions 338 to 795 of the family's 1533-position model. The record is from RNAcentral.
CCUACGGGUGGCAGCAGUGAGGAACAUUGGUCAUUGGACGAGAGUCUGAACCAGCCAAGUAGCGUGAAGGAUGACUGCCCUAUGGGUUGUAAACUUCUUUUAUAUGGGAAUAAAAUGUUCCACGUGUGGGAUUUUGUAUGUACCAUAUGAAUAAGGAUCGGCUAACUCCGUGCCAGCAGCCGCGGUAAUACGGAGGAUCCGAGCGUUAUCCGGAUUUAUUGGGUUUAAAGGGAGCGUAGGUGGAUUGUUAAGUCAGUUGUGAAAGUUUGCGGCUCAACCGUAAAAUUGCAGUUGAAACUGGCAGUCUUGAGUACAGUAGAGGUGGGCGGAAUUCGUGGUGUAGCGGUGAAAUGCUUAGAUAUCACGAAGAACUCCGAUUGCGAAGGCAGUUCACUGGACUGCAACUGACACUGAGGCUCGAAAGUGUGGGUAUCAAACAGGAUUAGAUACCCUUGUAGUC